Long non-coding RNA from Helianthus annuus (common sunflower), 1633 nucleotides. RefSeq lists it as uncharacterized. The transcript has 4 exons. NCBI's taxonomy places the organism in Eukaryota, Viridiplantae, Streptophyta, Magnoliopsida, Asterales, Asteraceae. The record is from RefSeq and is a predicted model, not a curated record.
CAGGGUGUUGCGACUGGUGGACUAAGCGAUCGAAGCGCGUUGGCACAUUAGAGUUGGACCGGAUUCGUAUGUCCAAGAGUGUUAUUGUCCGUGAGCCAGGUGGGCAUAACCGAUUGCUUGUCAAGGGUGCGGUCGAGAGGGUGUUAGAUUGUAGCUCACACGUUCAACUUGCGGACGGGUGUGUUGUAGAGAUGGACAAAUCGUGUAGACAACUAUUGCUUUCACGGCAUGUGGAAAUGAGUUCAAAGGGGUUACGGUGCUUGGGUUUAGCUUAUAAGGACGAUGCGGCGGGAGGAAACCAGAAAUGAGAAAGCGUUUCGCAACAAUUAACUCGAGAAUGGAGGUUAAGAGGCUCUACGACGUCGUUUCCGGUGCUCCGGUGGUAGAGAUCUUCAGUUUGAUGGUUCAGACGGUUGUGGAUGCUCAGAGAUCUGUUUAUUGGCUUCUGUUUUUGGUAAAUCUGUUUAUUGGCUUCUUUGUCCGUUAUCUGUCUAAGUUUUUUCUCGGGUUUUGUUUAAUGCUUGAUUCUUUGUCCGUUGACUUUCUAUCGACAUUAUAUUUCGCUAUUAUCAGUAACUAUAUAACCUACUCAUGCUUUUUUUAAUUUUGUCUUGUACAUGGAUAAUUAGUUUUUUAACUAUGAUAAAGAAGUUAAAAGAUAAUGUGUAUGGAUCGCAACUAACAAAUUAACUAAUUAGGUGAUAGGUUCAUGUAUUUGUUUUAUUUUCAGCUAAAAACAUCAGAAGAUGAAAACGAUCUUAAUUAAGGAUUUUGAAUAGACAUCAUAGCUUAGGUGCGAUAUUAUUGUGUUAUAUGUUGAAAAUGACGCACACUAAAUUAUUUAGUUUAUUUGCAUACUUCAAGACUUAAAAAGUAGUUUCAGUUAGUAUUACUAAAAACAAAGUGGACAAUUAAUGGAACAAAAGUAUUUAAAAAGGUAAACAGGGAUGGGACUCAAGAAUACAUGGAGGUUUGCAAGCAGCUGCAGCGAGCACAGGCGCAGCGAGCGCAGUUUGGUGAAGGUUUUUUUUAAUCAGUUUCUUUUGCUCAGUGAAGACGACAAGUUGACUGUCGCACGUGCCAGUAAAAUCAAAGGUUUUUGAGUCAGCCGUUCCAUGUUGCUGAAGUUUUCACUGGUGCCCCCGAUAAAUAUGUGGAACUCAAAGAGAGCAUUGGCAGUUUCCAGGGUGAAAAGAGGGAACAGUGGUCAACAGUGGUCAGAAGCAUGCUUCCUCUACAACAUCUACUUUUGUCAUUGAAACUGUACAACAUCUACUUUUAUCACUGAAACUAUACAUUUGCGUGUUGACAGUCUUUCGAACUGGCUAAUGUGGACAUCGAAGACGACAGAGUGGUGUUUGAUCCAUGGACAGGAACCGAUUUCAGAACCGGUGAUGCUCCAUGGUGGUCUUAGAAACUACGUUUAGCAUUUGUAGCAUGUGUUUGUCUUAUUUUAGCUUGUGUUUUUUAGUUUUGAAAUAGUACAAGUGAUAUAAACAGAUAGGGUGUGGGGCAUGAAAAGUUUAGAACUCUAAACUAGAAGGUGAUAGGUGUAGUUGCAGGUCCUAGAUUUCUGAACAGGUUAUAACUUUUCUUUUUUGGGAUUCAUUAAAAUAACCGAGUUUUAUGUUUU